GAUGAACGCUAGCGGCAGGCUUAACACAUGCAAGUCGAGGGGCAGCGCGAUGUAGCAAUACAUUGGCGGCGACCGGCGCACGGGUGCGUAACACGUAUGGAACUUACCCUUUACUGGGAGAUAGCCCGGAGAAAUCCGGAUUAAUAUCCCAUAAUAAACGAAGUGGCAUCACUUUGUUUUGAAAGCUCCGGCGGUAAAGGAUGGCCAUGCGCACGAUUAGCUAGUAGGUGAGGUAACGGCUCACCUAGGCUACGAUCGUUAGGGGGCCUGAGAGGGUUAUCCCCCACACUGGUACUGAGACACGGACCAGACUCCUACGGGAGGCAGCAGUGAGGAAUAUUGCGCAAUGGAGGCAACUCUGACGCAGCCAUGCUGCGUGCAGGAAGAAGGCGCUACGCGUUGUAAACUGCUUUUAACCGGGAGAAACCCUCCGACGUGUCGGAGGUUGACGGUACCGGAGGAAUAAGCACCGGCUAACUUCGUGCCAGCAGCCGCGGUAAAG
Molecule: ribosomal RNA, 502 nt
Filed under: uncultured bacterium
Lineage: Bacteria
Description: bacterial SSU rRNA
Rfam family: Bacterial small subunit ribosomal RNA
Source: RNAcentral